CCUUUGGCGUGCACUAGAACUUGUGAGUAGCUGCUGAACUUUCAGAGCAAAAACAUGCACGAUGAAUAAGGAA
Molecule: non-coding RNA, 73 nt
Filed under: unclassified sequences
Description: RAGATH-18 RNA
Rfam family: RAGATH-18 RNA
About the family: Actinobacteria, Firmicutes, Fusobacteria, Thermotogae (1 example).
Source: Rfam by way of RNAcentral